This 253-nucleotide ribosomal RNA is filed under the name uncultured bacterium. RNAcentral's name for it is "partial 16S ribosomal RNA". It matches the Rfam family "Bacterial small subunit ribosomal RNA", at positions 524 to 776 of the family's 1533-position model. The record is from RNAcentral.
UACAGAGGUCUCAAGCGUUGUUCGGAUUCAUUGGGCGUAAAGGGUGCGUAGGUGGCGUGGUAAGUCGGGUGUGAAAUUUCGGAGCUUAACUCCGAAACUGCAUUCGAUACUGCCGUGCUUGAGGACUGGAGAGGAGACUGGAAUUUACGGUGUAGCAGUGAAAUGCGUAGAGAUCGUAAGGAAGACCAGUGGCGAAGGCGGGUCUCUGGACAGUUCCUGACACUGAGGCACGAAGGCCAGGGGAGCAAAAGGG